This 68-nucleotide transfer RNA is filed under the name Loxosomella aloxiata. Its description in RNAcentral is "tRNA-Glu". It matches the Rfam family "tRNA". Rfam says of the family: Transfer RNA (tRNA) molecules are approximately 80 nucleotides in length. The record is from RNAcentral. Lineage: Eukaryota; Metazoa; Entoprocta; Loxosomatidae.
GUUUCUAUGGUGUAUGUAAGCACAUUAGAUUUUCACUCUAAAAGAGCAGAAAUAAUUUGCUAGAAAUU